CGGGGGAGCAAGCAUUGUUCGGAUUUACUGGGCGUAAAGGGCGCGUAGGCGGCCUCUGCAAGUCGACUGUGAAAUCUCCGGGCUUAACCCGGAAAGGUCAGCCGAUACUGCAGGGCUAGAGUGCAGAAGGGGCAACUGGAAUUCUCGGUGUAGCGGUGAAAUGCGUAGAUAUCGAGAGGAACACCUGCGGCGAAGGCGGGUUGCUGGGCUGACACUGACGCUGAAGUGCGAAAGCUAGGGGAGCGAACGGGAUUAGAUACCCCGGUAGUCCUAGCCUUAAACGAUGAAUGCUUGGUGUCUGGGGUUUUAUAGUCCCCGGGUGCCGUCGCUAACGCUUUAAGCAUUCCGCCUGGGGAGUACGGUCGCAAGACUG
This 373-nucleotide ribosomal RNA is filed under the name uncultured organism. RNAcentral's name for it is "bacterial SSU rRNA". It matches the Rfam family "Bacterial small subunit ribosomal RNA", at positions 527 to 896 of the family's 1533-position model. The record is from RNAcentral.